RNAcentral lists this ribosomal RNA (253 nucleotides) under uncultured prokaryote. RNAcentral's name for it is "partial 16S ribosomal RNA". It matches the Rfam family "Bacterial small subunit ribosomal RNA", at positions 524 to 776 of the family's 1533-position model. The record is from RNAcentral.
AACGUAGGUGGCGAGCGUUAUCCGGAUUUACUGGGCGUAAAGGGUGUGUAGGUGGCGCCGUAAGUCGGGUGUGAAAUCUCGGGGCUUAACUCCGAAACUGCAUUCGAUACUGCGGUGCUUGAGGACUGGAGAGGAGACUGGAAUUCCUGGUGUAGCGGUGAAAUGCGCAGAUAUCAGGAGGAACACCGGUGGCGAAGGCGGGUCUCUGGGCCGAUACUGACGCUGAGGAGCGAAAGCGUGGGGAGCGAACAGG